This 417-nucleotide ribosomal RNA is filed under the name uncultured Gram-positive bacterium. Its description in RNAcentral is "partial 16S ribosomal RNA". The record is from RNAcentral.
CCUAGAGGAUAGGGCCUUUCCCUUUUCGGGGGACAAGAGUGAACAAAGNGUGGGUGCAUGGGUUGUUNGUCAGNUNGUGUCGUCGAGAAUGUUGGGUUAAGUCCCGCNACGAAGCGGCAACCCUUGAUCUUUAAGUUGCCAAGCAUUCCAAGGUUUGGGCACUCUAAGGUUGAACUGCCGGUGACAAACCGGAGGGAAGGUUGGGGGAUGACGCUCNAAUCAAUCAAUGCCCCUUUAUGACCUCGGGGCUAACAACACCGUGGCUUACCAAUGGAGAUGGGUAACCAGAAGAAGAGCCCCCGCCAAAAACCCNGCCCGAGGGGGCAAAGACUAAAAUUCUCAUUAAAAAAGCCCAUUUCUCUAGCAGUUUCCGGAAUUUGCAAGGGCCUGCNAAACUUCGNCCCUGGCCAUGGAAAG